AACAAUGGGUGGUUUAGCCUCUCAUUGUCAUGAGAGACUUACUAAUACAAAAAGGAAACAAUAGGUAUGGAAGAAAUUUGAAGAAAAUGGAGGAAAUGGUUCCCAAGUGAAUGGGUUCUCCCUUUUCUCUCUGUGCCUUCGCUCCUUAUUUUGGUCCCAAAGAAGAACUAUCCUGAUUUCUCCCUAUUUUUCCCUUUAAAACACAGCACAGUCAUAUUUUUUGACAUUGACUGUGCGCUAAGUCUACAUGUGCUCGCUAAGCGCAUAUGCAGAGUCCAACUGGCAUAAGUGACCGUGCGCUACACCGUCAGAUGCGCGCUGAGCCGCCAGAUGCGGGCUAAGCUGCCAGAUGCACGCUAAGCCGCCAAAGAUGUGCUAAGCCUGGCCUCCAAGUUGGCUCCUCGCGCUGAGCGGUUGUUGACGUGCUGAGCGCACUGCUCCAGUUCUUCAACCCUUUUCUAGGCCUCCUGUUGUGUAAUACUACAAAAAAUACACCCCAAAACACAAAUGAACUCACUUUAACAUUUAUUGAACAAAAACUUAGAAGAAGCUAAAUUCCUAAUGUUUUAACACAAAAGAAGCAAUAAAAAAAAGGAAAUUUAGAUAAUUGCUAUGUGAUUUAAAUAUUCAAAUUACAUAAGCAUAGCAAUUAUCAGUAUCGCUGAUGUGUUCAACUAAUGGACAUGGCAUCACAAUUUUAACGGAGACUAACGACAUGAAUUUUCCACAAAACUUUGAAAAUUUCAGGAUCCAACGAGGAACAAAAUUUUUUCAAGAAUUAAUUGCAAAGUUCGAGUAUAUUUUAAAAAUCUCUAACAUAUUUUAGCUAAAAUAAAUUUUCUGAGAACUCAAGAAUAUAAAAGACAUUAUUCAAUUCAAAAGCAAAGUAAGUCUACACAUGCCAACAAUUAUCACAUGUGGACGCAUCCGAUUUCUAGAUGAAUCAUCAAUAAAUUUUGAUUAAUAUUCCUCAGUUCUCCAAGAAUUUAAUUUAUAUUGCAAAACUUAUUUCUUUGAGUUAUUCAAUAAAUAUUAACACAUUUAAAUCAAGGAAUAUAGCUCAAUUAAUUGGAAAGAUGGGUAAAUAUUACCGUAUUCAAUUUCUACAAAUAAAAAAAACACUCAAAUAAUUCAUUAUUUAAGUCUAUUAUUGUUGAAAAUGGCGUGUUAAAUAGUUGUGAUACCAAAUGUGAAAUAAAACUGUAAACAUAUCACAUGUUCAAACAGAUCACAUAAUUAAAUAGGAUCACUAACCUCUUAACAUUGCUCUCCAAGCAGCAUUUUUGAAGACUUGAAGACACAAAAUACUUCCAUCCCUU
Molecule: long non-coding RNA, 1319 nt
Filed under: Glycine max (soybean)
Lineage: Eukaryota; Viridiplantae; Streptophyta; Magnoliopsida; Fabales; Fabaceae
Description: long non-coding RNA (GMAX_LNC002030)
Source: RNAcentral